GGACGUGGCGGAAUCGGUAGACGCAACGGACUUAAAAUCCGUUAUUCGAAAGAGUGUGGGGGUUCGAGUCCCCCCGUCCGC
Molecule: transfer RNA, 81 nt
Filed under: marine eukaryotic metagenome
Rfam family: tRNA
About the family: Transfer RNA (tRNA) molecules are approximately 80 nucleotides in length.
Source: RNAcentral